Long non-coding RNA from Cucurbita moschata (crookneck pumpkin), 3564 nucleotides. RefSeq lists it as uncharacterized. The transcript has 6 exons. The record is from RefSeq and is a predicted model, not a curated record. Lineage: Eukaryota; Viridiplantae; Streptophyta; Magnoliopsida; Cucurbitales; Cucurbitaceae.
UCAUAGCCGUUAUAGCCAUCGCUUAGUCGGACGCCACCUGUCUCGCCCACCGCGGAUUUUACACGGCUUAUAUAUUUCUCCCCCACUCACACUCUCUUCUUCAGCACAUUCUCACACUAGAAUCAGAGCGCUCCCAUCAACGGCCUCUUUCCCUCUUGAGCGUUCGUUGCCGAAAUCGAACUCUCGACCAUUACCAGGCGAUCGGAGGAAGAUGGCCUCUUUCCUCUUGAGCGUUCGUUGCCGAAAUCGAACGCUCGACCAUUACCAGGGAGAGCAGAAUCGAAAGAAGUUUCUCGCCUCCUCAAACAUAGAGAUGAGAGGAGCUCGUAUGUCACUCAGACUGGUUCCGACAACAGAGAGGGGAAGCACAAAGCAAUUACUCUUGAAGCAGUUGGUCCUCUCACUGCCGGUGGGGUUUUCGCAUCUGCUAGGAAUACUGGUAGAAGAAAGAAUUUGGUCGGUCGAAGAGGUAAAAUGCGGGUUCUAAGGAAGAAUUUGGUCUGCUGAAGAGGAAAAGAUGGAAAUGGAGGACAUGGAGGGAGAUAAUAAAGUUGAGGGUAUUCUACAAGGAAUCAAACUCCGGUUGCUACUUUCAAUGCUCCAUCAGACAGAGCUUAGACCAUUCUUGAUGGCGGGAGCGUGCAGAGCUAUGCAGUUGCAAGAGGCAUCCCUAUGUCAAGUCUUUUCCUUUUAUGUUGUUCUUAAUAUUAUUUUAAUGUUAUUUAUCUCGAAACUCGUGUUAUUUUGUUAAUUGCUUUUGAUGUUGACGCCGUAGAAUAUUUUGUACUUUAAAUUAAUAUUAUGUCAGUUUUAAAUGCAUGUUUGAUUUUUCUCCUCGUGUUUCUCUGUUGUACAAAAUUGAAAAUUUUUACCACCCUUUUUACCCUUUAGUCCACAUGGCGAUCUGUGAUUCGAGGUAUCGGAAAGAAGGUCGUUACAGAUUGGUAUCAGAGCCCUAACAUUAGGUCAUGUAGACAAUUUUCCCUUGAAAGAGAGUCGUUUGGGUCUUUUGUAGCUUGGCUCGUAAGUAGCAAACACGAUAACUCCAAUUGAAUUGCAUGCAUAUGCUGAAUACAUUUAUGAAUUUGAAUAAGUUAAGCUUUGGGUUAGAAUACCUAGUAACCAAACUCUAUGAGGAGGUAGGCCCUUAUUGGGUUCGAUCUCAUUCGUGACUCCUAGUAAGGAAAGACACGCCAAGGACAAGAGUUCAAGUGAGUAGAUUCUCCAACUGCUGUCAUGGUAAGGAUACCAUGACGCUACGACCCCUGACCCUGGCACUGUGGCAAAACAGAGUAACAAAAACAAUGGGGACGACGUUAGAAUGUCCUAAGGGUCAAGAUAUUUGAGAGGCUUUUGCAAGCAUGACCCAUCGACACUUGAUGGAAAGAACGUAACCCCAGCUCAUCGGGUAAGAGAAGAAUCAGAAUACCACAAGCGGGUGAUGCCAUUGCUCGAGGCAAGAGCAGGUGAGACAAAUGUUAGGCUAGAGAGGACUAUUUCUAAGGAGAGCUUUGGGAUUAGGAUUGCCUAAAGGUGAAAAGUCCCAAUAACCUAAAAAUAGCUAGGAGAAUCGUAGUAGGUUGUAUAGCUUGAGGUGAUCCAAGUCUUGAGGAGCACGAGUGGUCUCCACCACGUCUAUCAUAGAGGCCGAGAUUACCCUGCCUGAAGUACCAUGGCGAAGGUCGUGCUAGAGGACAAGGAGGACGAUGAGUACAAGAUGGUGAGAGAACAACCAUAAAGUAGUGUACCCAAGGUUGGGGGUAGGUAUGGAUGGUCAGAUUUGCCACUCGUGGUAUAACUAGCUAGUAGACGCUCCCUGAUGUGUCUCGAGGAGAACAAGAUGGUAGUGGGAGACCAGAUUGUAACGCCUGAAAGAGGGGUUAUACGAAGCUAGAAGAUUCUUAUACAAUACUCGAUGGAGGUAUUAUACAGGAGAAGACUAAGAGGGGUACUAUGAGAUGGUACAAUCGUGAGCACACAAGUUUUAAUGUAUUGAAUGAGGGAAUUCUGCUCGAGGACUCAGUGACAACCUGGCCCACAUUAUCAAUCUAGCCUGGAAUGACACCCCGUCUAGAAUGGCAAUGAGUAAGGAGAUGGUUGCAUGCCACUAGGAGUAGUCGAUAACACUAAAAGUGUCCCACUAAGAGGAGAAUUAUGCCCGACAAGAUGUAGGAUGCCAUGGAUGGCAGCAUUGCCUUGAAAAUGAAAAGUUAAACUCAGUCCUGGUUAAACUCAUUUGAUAGGCACGACACAAGAAGUUGUUAUCUAUGCCCUUGUAAUGAGAGAAGAGAUUAAACCUAACCACAGGUUCAUGGGUUUGGGUCAAUCUUCGUGCUUGGCAUGGGAAUAUAGAGGCAAAAGUGAUGUGUACGACAAUAAAUAUAGUACCAUGGACAAACGGUUGAGCUUGGUACUAAAGAUUGAGGGUAAGACAUAUAAAUGAACGGCUUCACCACCUGAUGUGGUGUGACAUGUCGACAUGUGAAUAUGGAAUUGGAUAGGCAACGAACUCCUGGUGAUCAAAUUGAGCUGUGCGGUCGUGGGAGGGACCCCUAGAUUGAGUCUUUUCCUUUUAUUUUGCUUUUAAUAUUAUUUACCUUGAAACUUAAGCUAUAUUAUAACUACUUUUGAUGUUGACUCCACGAAAUAUGUCAGUUUAAAGGCAUGUUUUAUUUUUCUCCUUGCGUUUCUUUGUUUUACAAAAUUGAAAAAAAUUUCCAUCCUUUUUACCUUUCAUUGUGUCCACGUGAUGAUCUAUGAUUCGAAACAUCAAAAAGCAGGUUACAGUUUCCAUUGUCUCAUCAAUGGUAGCUUUCUCGUUCGGUAACAUGUAUAAGGAAAACCUUUAUAUUUCGCAUCUACUUGGUGAAAAAAAUUUGAAGGGUCAUAUGAUCUACUUAGAGAAGGACUAUCUUCAAUCACUUGAAAAGCUUUGCUGUUUCAUUCCUUCUACAUCCUUUAUGCAGGCAUAUUUAGUUUGAGGAUGUGAUUUCUGAACAAAUAUAAACAUCUACCUACCCAUCUUAUUAAUUAUGCAUUCACAUGUUUCUUUACUUUUUCCAUUUUCCUGCUUAUAUUAUCACGCUCAUGAGUUUACUAUCUCUGUGUAUAUCGACUUAUUCAGUAGGUAUUUUAGUUCUUGAUUUCACCCAAUUUUUUUGAUCAUGUAGGGAGCGGCAACUCAGUGUUAUGUGGCGUUGAACCCCCAAGUAAAAGGGGUAAGUGGAGAGUAUUUUGUUGAUAAUAAUAUUGCCGGCCCAACCAAUCAUGCCAAGAAUAUGUAGUUGGCCAAGAAACUGUGGGAUUUCAGCGUGGAACCAACCAGUCCAAAAUAAUUUGAAUCUAAUAGAAGCCUUUUGUUACUCUUAGCUUCUCAUCUCAGACUUUAUGUUAUUGAUAUAUGGACUGUUAAAUGGUGGAAGUAGAUGUAUCAUUAUUUUUAGUUUCAAGUGCCCCUUUGAGCCUAUACAAACAAUUACUGAGCACAAGUUUGUUAUACUGUGUAACAAAUACAAUAGUGUUUUUGUAGAUUUCAGUCCAAAAGUGUGACAAAAGUAUUUUAAA